ACUCCUUUCCAUUCCGAACAGGAAAGUUAAGCUCUACAGCGCUAAUGGUACUGCACGGGCAGCUGUGUGGGAGAGUAGGACGUCGCCAGGU
This 91-nucleotide ribosomal RNA is filed under the name Clostridium gasigenes. The record is from RNAcentral. Lineage: Bacteria; Bacillati; Bacillota; Clostridia; Eubacteriales; Clostridiaceae.